CUACGGGCCGCUGCAGUAAGGAAUAUUGGGCAAUGGACGCAAGUCUGACCCAGCCAUGCCGCGUGCAGGAUGACAGCCCUACGGGUUGUAAACUGCUUUUAUACGGGAAAAAACCCCUGCACGAGUUGCGGGGUUGAUGGUACCGUAAGAAUAAGCAUCGGCUAACUCCGUGCCAGCAGCCGCGGUAAUACGGAGGAUGCAAGCGUUAUCCGGAUUCAUUGGGUUUAAAGGGUGCGUAGGCGGAAUGAUAAGUCAGUGGUGAAAUCCUACAGCUUAACUGUAGAACUGCCAUUGAUACUGUUGUUCUUGAGUACAGUUGAAGUGGGCGGAAUGUGUCAUGUAGCGGUGAAAUGCAUAGAGAUGACACAGAACACCGAUCGCGAAGGCAGCUCACUAAACUGUAACUGACGCUGAGGCACGAAAGCGUGGGGAUCAAACAGGAUUAGAUACCCUCGUAGUC
RNAcentral lists this ribosomal RNA (460 nucleotides) under uncultured bacterium. RNAcentral describes it as "partial 16S ribosomal RNA". It matches the Rfam family "Bacterial small subunit ribosomal RNA", at positions 339 to 795 of the family's 1533-position model. The record is from RNAcentral.